This 484-nucleotide ribosomal RNA is filed under the name uncultured bacterium. RNAcentral describes it as "bacterial SSU rRNA". It matches the Rfam family "Bacterial small subunit ribosomal RNA", at positions 57 to 554 of the family's 1533-position model. The record is from RNAcentral.
GCAAGUCGAACGAGAAAGCGGGGGCAACUCCGCGAGUAAAGUGGCGACCGGGUGAGUAACACGUGACUAACCUGCCCUCGAGCGGGGGAUAACCCCGGGAAACCGGGGCUAAUACCGCAUAACAUCCUCGAUACGAAAGUGUUGAGGAUCAAAGGAGCAAUUCACUUGAGGAGGGGGUCGCGGCCGAUUAGCUAGUUGGUGGGGUAAUGGCCCACCAAGGCUGAGAUCGGUAGCCGGCCUGAGAGGGCGCACGGCCACACUGGAACUGAAACACGGUCCAGACUCCUACGGGAGGCAGCAGUGGGGAAUUUUGCGCAAUGGGGGAAACCCUGACGCAGCAACGCCGCGUGGAGGAUGAAGUCCCUUGGGACGUAAACUCCUUUCGACCGGGAAGAUAAUGACGGUACCCGGAAGAAGAAGCACCGGCUAACUCUGUGCCAGCAGCCGCGGUAAUACAGAGGGUGCGAGCGUUGUUCGGAAUUAU